Molecule: small nucleolar RNA, 68 nt
Organism: Oryzias javanicus (javanese ricefish)
Lineage: Eukaryota; Metazoa; Chordata; Actinopteri; Beloniformes; Adrianichthyidae
Source: Ensembl
CUGGAUAUGAUGCAUCUAAAAGACCUGACUAAUACUGAUGGUUUUUGUAUUCAUACUGUCUGAUCCAG